AUUGAACGCUGGCGGCAUGCUUUACACAUGCAAGUCGAACGGCAGCGCGGGCUUCGCCCUUGCGGCGAGUGGCGAACGGGUGAGUAAUGCAUCGGACGUGCCCAGUAGUGGGGGAGAGAGCGGCGAAAGCCGGAUUAAUACCGCAUACGACCUGAGGGUGAAAGCGGGGGACCGAAAGGACUCGCGCUAUUGGUGCGGUCGAUGUCGGUUUAGCUAGUUGGUUGGGUGAAGGCUUACCAAGGCGACGAUCCGUAGCUGGUCUGAGAGGACGACUAGCCCCACUGGGACGGAGACACGGCCCAGACUCCUACGGGAGGCAGCAGUGGGGAAUGUUGGACUAAGGGGGCGACCCUGAUCCAGCCCUGCCGCGUGCGGGAAGAAGGCCUUCGGGUUGUAAACCGCUUUUGUUCGGGAAGAAGUACUCUGGGCUAAUCCCCCGGGGGGAUGACGGUACCGAAAGAAUAAGCACCGGCUAACUACGUG
This 483-nucleotide ribosomal RNA is filed under the name uncultured bacterium. Its description in RNAcentral is "partial 16S ribosomal RNA". It matches the Rfam family "Bacterial small subunit ribosomal RNA", at positions 28 to 507 of the family's 1533-position model. The record is from RNAcentral.